AUGGCGACCGGCGUACGGGUGAGUAACGCGUAUCCAACCUGCCCUUUACUAUGGGACAGCCCGUCGAAAGGCGGAUUAAUACCGUAUGUUGUCAUGUUGAUGCAUAUUUUCAUGACCAAAGGCUUCGGCCGGUAAAGGAUGGGGAUGCGUCUGAUUAGCUUGCCGGCGGGGUAACGGCCCACCGGGGCGACGAUCAGUAGGGGUUCUGAGAGGAGGGUCCCCCACAUUGGAACUGAGACACGGUCCAAACUCCUACGGGAGGCAGCAG
Molecule: ribosomal RNA, 268 nt
Filed under: uncultured bacterium
Lineage: Bacteria
Description: partial 16S ribosomal RNA
Rfam family: Bacterial small subunit ribosomal RNA
Source: RNAcentral